AGCUGGCAAAAGACUCCUUUAGCAGGAGCCACUCGGACUGACCCCGUCGGGCUUUCGCCCAUUGCGGAGGUU
This 72-nucleotide ribosomal RNA is filed under the name uncultured archaeon. Its description in RNAcentral is "partial 16S ribosomal RNA". The record is from RNAcentral.